UAGGCGUUACGUCACUAAAGUCCUCCAGCUCUGGGAAGAUGCUGGUGUGUGUCUGCAAAUAAUAAAAUCAUAAGACAAUACAAAGAAAAAAUAGGCCGCAACCUCUCUAUCAGACAUCUGUUGGACAGACGGUCGUUGAAAAAGACCAGCCAUACAAGGCCACCAUAGUUGCUCCAUUAGAAAGAAAGAUACAGAAGACUGGCCUUUGCGUGACAGAUCACAUUCCUUAUACUUGAGAGGAAAAUGACCCGGCCUGUUUAUUAGCACAUUCCUUCACAUUCAAUUUUCGGUGGGUUCCCUUGCUUGCACUCUAAGCCUGCCAAUAUGUAUGGAAGUUCACGCUCUGUGAGCAAAAUGGACAGCAAUCACAGUGGGGGUAGAAACAACCAGGGCAACUCUGGACGCUCGCCACGGCUGCCUCGGUCACCUCGUAUGGGCCACCGUCGCACCAACAGCAUGGGGGGCAGCGGCGGAGGCCCGGGCGGCUCUGGAGGCAAGACGCUGUCCAUGGAGAACAUUCAGUCUCUCAAUGCCGCCUACGCCACGUCGGGGCCAAUGUACAUGAGCGACAAUGAGGUCGCAAUAGGCACCUCCCCUGACCUCCCAAAAAGUGGUGUAGCGACGGGACGCUUUGGAGGCAGUAUUCCUUACGGGGUAAGAGGAACAGUUACAGGGAGCACACCGGACAUGGCCAUGGUGCCUGCGGUGUCCACCGACUCUAUGGGCUUUGGAGGGGAGAUCCACGCGGCAUCAACCGUACCCCACUCGCUACGUCAGGCGAGGGACAACACCAUCAUGGAGCUCCAAGCCCAGCUCAAGGAGGUGUUGAGGGAGAAUGAGCUCCUUCGGAAGGAGAUCGAGGUGAAGGAGAGCAAGCUCAGCUCCUCCAUGAGCUCCAUCAAAAGCUUCUGGAGCCCAGAGCUGAAGAAGGAACGUGCACUGCGCAAAGAUGAGGCGUCCAAAAUAGCAGUGUGGAAGGAGCAGUACCGCGUUGUGCAAGACGAGACACAGCACCUGCAGACAACUGUGCAGGCACUGCAGGCCGAGCUGCGUAUCCAGCGCGACUUGAACCAGCUACUCCAGCCAUCGGAGGAGCCGCUGGCCUGCGAGCCCAGCGAGGAGCAGGAGCGGCAAGCUCGAGAGGUGUUCUUGCUCCGCCGUACCCUGGAGGAGAUGGAGGUUCGCCUGGAGACCCAACGGCAGACACUAGUUGCUCGUGAUGAGUCAGUCAAAAAGCUCCUGGAGAUGUUGCACAGCAAGGGACCCUCUUCUAAAGCCAGUGAAGAGGAUCACGAGCGCACACGUCGCCUCGCAGAUGCCGAGAUGCACGCGCACCACCUGGAGAACCUUCUAGAACAACGUGAUAAAGAGCUAGCAGCUUUGAGAGAGGAACUGCAUCGCCGCCUUGAGGGGACGCCAGAGACUACGAAAACCAAAGCUCUUCAGACUGUAAUUGAGAUGAAGGAUUCUCAGAUCAGUUCUCUAGAGCGGGGCCUCAGAGAGCUGGAGGACCAGGUCAUGAUGCUCCGCUCCAGUAGUAUGCUUAGCUGUGAGGAACGGCAGGAGGAGGCCAAGCAGAUGGAGGUCUACCGUAACCACACCAAGUUCAUGAAGAACAAGAUGGACCAAGUUAAGCAAGACCUUUCCAGGAAGGACACUCAGCUCCUUGGCUUGCAGACCAAGCUGGAGACAUUGACUAACCAGUUCUCUGACAGUAAACAGCAUAUUGAAGUGCUUAAAGAGUCUCUGACUGCCAAAGAACAACGAGCUGCCAUUCUACAGACAGAGGUGGAUGCUCUGAGGUUGCGUCUGGAGGAGAAGGAGACCAUGUUAAACAAAAAGAGUAAGCAAAUCCAGGAAAUGUCCGAAGAAAAAAGCACACUCAAUGGAGAAAUCCACGAUCUGAAGGACAUGCUGGAGGUCAAGGAGCGUAAAGUCAAUGUGCUUCAGAAAAAAAUUGAAAACCUGCAGGAGCAGCUGAGGGAUAAAGAGAAGCAGAUGAGCAGUCUUAGAGAGAGGGUGAAGUCCCUACAGACAGACACCUCUAAUACAGACACGGCCCUCACUACACUGGAGGACUCACUGGCUGAGAAGGAACGUAUUAUUGAGCGCCUGAAGGAGCAACGUGAUCGAGAGGAGCGAGAGAAGGCAGAGGAGCUGGACAGCAGUAAAAAAGAGCUGAGGGAGUUAAAGGAGAAAGUCAGCAUACUGCAGGGAGACCUGUCAGACCGAGAGACUUCUCUGCUGGACCUUAAAGAGCAUGCAUCGUCACUGGCCUCAUCUGGCUUGAAGAAAGACUCCAAACUGAAAAGCCUAGAGAUUGCCCUUGAGCAGAGGAGGGAGGAAUGCAUUAAACUUGAGAACCAACUAAAGAAGGUCCAGAGUGCCGCAGCCAAUGCACAGGCCAACGCAGAGAUAUCUGAGAGGAUUUCUUCACUUGAAGCUGAUGUGGCCAGACACAGGGAAGACUCAGCUAAAGCCCAGGCUGAAGUUGAUCGUCUAUUGGACAUCCUGCGUCAGAUGGAGAAUGAGAAGAACGACAAGGACAGAAAAAUCAGUGAGCUGGAGAGUGUGGCUUCCAGGCAAAUGAAAGAGCAGAGUAAGAAGUCCUCUGGCAAACACAAGGAGCCUUCAGGGAAGGGCAGAAAUGUCAACGAUGGCCCACAGCAGGAGUCACUGCGGCAGAAGGCAGAGCGCAUCGAGGAGUUGGAGGAAGCUCUCAGAGAGAGUGUUCAAAUCACUGCCGAGAGGGAGAUGGUGCUGGCGCAGGAGGAGGCUGCACGAACCCACCAGGAGAAACAGAUGGAAGAGCUCCUGGGAGCGAUGGAGAAAGUGAAGCUGGAGCUCGAGUCCAUGAAGGCCAAGAUGUCGUCCACCCAGCAGUCUCUGGCUGAGAAAGAAGCUCAUCUGACUACACUGAGGGCCGAGAGGAGGCGACACCUGGAGGAGGUGCUGGAGAUGAAACAGGAGGCUCUCCUUGCAGCCAUAAGUGAGAAAGAUGCUAAUAUAGCAUUGCUGGAGCUGUCUUCAUCCAAAAAAAAGAAGACACAAGAGGAAGUGGCCCAUCUGCGGAGGGAGAAGGACCGUUUGGUGCAGCAGCUCAAACAGCAGACACAGAACCGUAUGAAGCUCAUGGCGGAUAAUUACGACGACGGCUACUUGAAAACGCCACCUGACCAGACCAACCACAAACCUCCAAAAUCACCCGAUCAGAUAAGAUCUGGGCGGAAAGCUACAGUGCACAGGAGCUCUACACUGGCCACCUGAUUAUCCCAUACAACUACCCCAAAUCCCUUUACAAUCAACUCAGUCACUUCUCAUCACACCAGUUACCCAGGACCCACCGCCAGUGAUGACACACACAUUCUCACAGUGGGAGCCUGGGAUGGUGAGUCAGUGUGGAGCUGCAGUUAGGAUCCCUGGACCCUCCUUUGGACCUCCAAAUCCAAACUGGCCAUGAUCGAACCCUCCAGCUUCCUCCACUGUCUCUCUGCCCUCACCUCACACCUGAACCAAACCGGAGCCCUCUAAGAGCCUCAACAGUCUGUAGUCUUAAUAUUGGUGCAGCUUUGAAAAUAUGCAGUGUUAGUUGAGUUGUGAAUGCAAUUUUAAUUAUGUUCUCUUGAUAUGUCAUCUUGGUUGAGUAAAAACAGAUUUAGAAUGUUAACCUGAUCAUUAGGUGGUGCUAUAUAAACAUAACUGAAUGCCAAACUGUUGUUAAACUUUAAUAAUAAAAAAAAGUGUAAUGCUACUUUAACUGCAUUCAAUAUUAAGACUAUCAGACCCUCAAUCUAUUCUGCAUUUAGGUAGUGUCUUGCACUGGUUAUACUUCGGAUGGAUGACCCUUCCCCUUUACCGAAAACCUAUAGGACACCUUCGAGAGCAUGACAUAAACUUUUAUGGAUAGAAAUGGCUAUUCUUCACACCUGACGCUUUGUCAGUGGAAAAAAUCAGGUUCUAUAUGUUCUUUAAUUCAAAUUAACAGCUGCUAAAAGGAAUAGACAUAACAUAUAUAUGAAAAGAGUUUGCAUUGCUCAUGAAGGAGUCCACCAAGGGGUGUGUGCAAGAAAUUAGUUCUCGCUUAAUGAGACUAUUGUUGUUUUCUAGCAGCUCUUAGACAGGACAUUGUAGGCUCCCAAUAACAUAUCUUCAUAACAUGUCCAGAUAACCAGUUUCUGAGAGCGCAUUGCUGGUUUUAUGUGCUCUCAUAAACAUGGAUAUCAUUGUGUCUAUCUGUAUCUCUCAAAGUGGAAUUUUUUAAAUGUUGCAUUUGUGGCCUAUUGUCUUCGUGUAUUAAAAUGACAAUUAAAAGAUGGAUAGUCCACUUACAAAAAAAGAAAAAAAAAAAUUAAAAUGAAAACAAGAGAUGAUCAAAUCAGACAAAAGACACGGGUAUGGGUGUUCUGAAUUUGUAUAAAUGUGUAUGUAUAUAAAUAUCUAUUAUCAGA
RNA transcript from Cyprinus carpio (common carp), 4448 nucleotides. It is a transcript of the gene named ELKS/Rab6-interacting/CAST family member 1-like, with no coding region annotated. The record is from RefSeq and is a predicted model, not a curated record. NCBI's taxonomy places the organism in Eukaryota, Metazoa, Chordata, Actinopteri, Cypriniformes, Cyprinidae. The transcript is spliced from 19 exons.